CAGCCAGCUGACCGUGCCCCCGUCCCGCAGAGAACGGCGAGUGGGCCAUCGACUUCUGCCCGGGGGUGAUCCGCCGCCACCACGGUGGUGCCACCGACGGCCCAGGGGAGACUGACGUCAUCUACUCGCUCAUCAUCCGCCGGAAGCCGCUCUUCUACGUCAUUAACAUCAUCGUGCCCUGUGUGCUCAUCUCGGGCCUGGUGCUGCUCGCCUACUUCCUGCCGGCGCAGGCCGGCGGCCAGAAAUGCACGGUCUCCAUCAACGUCCUGCUCGCCCAGACCGUCUUCUUGUUCCUCAUUGCCCAGAAAAUCCCAGAGACGUCUCUGAGCGUGCCG
RNAcentral lists this long non-coding RNA (335 nucleotides) under Pan troglodytes (chimpanzee). RNAcentral's name for it is "long non-coding RNA NONPTRT007035". The record is from RNAcentral. Lineage: Eukaryota; Metazoa; Chordata; Mammalia; Primates; Hominidae.